AGAGUUUGCUUUUGGCUCAGGAUGAACGCUAGCUACAGGCUUAACACAUGCAAGUCGAGGGGCAGCAUGAAAGGAACUUCGGUUCUUUUUGAUGGCGACCGGCGCACGGGUGCGUAACGCGUAUCGAACCUGCCUCAUACUCGGGGAUAGCCUUGCGAAAGUAAGAUUAAUACCCGGCGGUCUCGGAUGGCCGCAUGACUGUCCGAGUGAAGAUUUAUCGGUAUGAGAUGGCGAUGCGUCCCAUUAGCUUGUUGGUGAGGUAAUGGCUCACCAAGGCAUCGAUGGGUAGGGGUUCUGAGAGGAAGGUCCCCCACAUUGGAACUGAGACACGGUCCAAACUCCUACGGGAGGCAGCAGUGAGGAAUAUUGGUCAAUGGACGAAAGUCUGAACCAGCCAAGUAGCGUGCAGGACGACGGCCCUCUGGGUUGUAAACUGCUUUUAGUUGGGAAUAAAAAGAGGGACGUGUCCCUUAUUGUAUGUACCAUCAGAAAAAGGACCGGCUAAUUCCGUGCCAGCGGCCGCGGUAAUACGGAAGGUCCAGGCGUUAUCCGGAUUUAUUGGGUUUAAAGGGAGCGCAGGCGGCGGCGUAAGUCAGUUGUGAAAUCGUGCGGCUUAACCGUGCAAUUGCAGUUGAUACUGCGUCGCUUGAGUGCACACAGGGAUGUUGGAAUUCAUGGUGUAGCGGUGAAAUGCUUAGAUAUCAUGAAGAACUCCGAUCGCGAAGGCAUAUGUCCGGAGUGCAACUGACGCUGAGGCUCGAAAGUGUGGGUAUCAAACAGGAUUAGAUACCCUGGUAGUCCACACAGUAAACGAU
RNAcentral lists this ribosomal RNA (815 nucleotides) under uncultured bacterium. RNAcentral's name for it is "bacterial SSU rRNA". It matches the Rfam family "Bacterial small subunit ribosomal RNA", at positions 8 to 810 of the family's 1533-position model. The record is from RNAcentral.